GCCUCCGUAGUGCAACGGUAAGCGCGCCCCUUUGAAAAGGAGGGGACGCAGGUGCAUUUCCCGCCGAAGGUU
Non-coding RNA from Parelaphostrongylus tenuis, 72 nucleotides. The record is from the annotation of a GenBank genome assembly. Lineage: Eukaryota; Metazoa; Nematoda; Chromadorea; Rhabditida; Metastrongylidae.